ACGGCGGGGUGCCUAUACAUGCAAGUCGAACGCGUUGGCCCAAUUGAUUGAUGGUGCUUGCACCUGAUUGAUUUUGGUCGCCAACGAGUGGCGGACGGGUGAGUAACACGUAGGUAACCUGCCCAGAAGCGGGGGACAACAUUUGGAAACAGAUGCUAAUACCGCAUAACAGCGUUGUUCGCAUGAACAACGCUUAAAAGAUGGCUUCUCGCUAUCACUUCUGGAUGGACCUGCGGUGCAUUAGCUUGUUGGUGGGGUAACGGCCUACCAAGGCGAUGAUGCAUAGCCGAGUUGAGAUACUGAUCGGCCACAAUGGGACUGACACACGGCCCAUACUCCUACGGGAGGCAGCAGUAGGGAAUCUUCCACAAUGGGCGCAAGCCUGAUGGAGCAACACCGCGUGAGUGAAGAAGGGUUUCGGCUCGUAAAGCUCUGUUGUUAAAGAAGAACACGUAUGAGAGUAACUGUUCAUACGUUGACGGUAUUUAACCAGAAAGUCACGGCUAACUACGUGCCAGCAGCCGCGGUAAUACGUAGGUGGCAAGCGUUAUCCGGAUUUAUUGGGCGUAAAGAGAGUGCAGGCGGUUUUCUAAGUCUGAUGUGAAAGCCUUCGGCUUAACCGGAGAAGUGCAUCGGAAACUGGAUAACUUGAGUGCAGAAGAGGGUAGUGGAACUCCAUGUGUAGCGGUGGAAUGCGUAGAUAUAUGGAAGAACACCAGUGGCGAAGGCGGCUACCUGGUCUGCAACUGACGCUGAGACUCGAAAGCAUGGGUAGCGAACAGGAUUAGAUACCCUGGUAGUCCAUGCCGUAAACGAUGAGUGCUAGGUGUUGGAGGGUUUCCGCCCUUCAGUGCCGGAGCUAACGCAUUAAGCACUCCGCCUGGGGAGUACGACCGCAAGGUUGAAACUCAAAGGAAUUGACGGGGGCCCGCACAAGCGGUGGAGCAUGUGGUUUAAUUCGAAGCUACGCGAAGAACCUUACCAGGUCUUGACAUCUUGCGCCAACCCUAGAGAUAGGGCGUUUCCUUCGGGAACGCAAUGACAGGUGGUGCAUGGUCGUCGUCAGCUCGUGUCGUGAGAUGUUGGGUUAAGUCCCGCAACGAGCGCAACCCUUGUUACUAGUUGCCAGCAUUAAGUUGGGCACUCUAGUGAGACUGCCGGUGACAAACCGGAGGAAGGUGGGGACGACGUCAGAUCAUCAUGCCCCUUAUGACCUGGGCUACACACGUGCUACAAUGGACGGUACAACGAGUCGCGAACUCGCGAGGGCAAGCAAAUCUCUUAAAACCGUUCUCAGUUCGGACUGCAGGCUGCAACUCGCCUGCACGAAGUCGGAAUCGCUAGUAAUCGCGGAUCAGCAUGCCGCGGUGAAUACGUUCCCGGGCCUUGUACACACCGCCCGUCACACCAUGAGAGUUUGUAACACCCAAAGUCGGUGGGGUAACCUUUUAGGAGCCAGCCGCCUA
RNAcentral lists this ribosomal RNA (1466 nucleotides) under Limosilactobacillus fermentum. RNAcentral describes it as "bacterial SSU rRNA". It matches the Rfam family "Bacterial small subunit ribosomal RNA". The record is from RNAcentral. Lineage: Bacteria; Bacillati; Bacillota; Bacilli; Lactobacillales; Lactobacillaceae.